RNAcentral lists this ribosomal RNA (253 nucleotides) under uncultured bacterium. Its description in RNAcentral is "partial 16S ribosomal RNA". It matches the Rfam family "Bacterial small subunit ribosomal RNA", at positions 524 to 776 of the family's 1533-position model. The record is from RNAcentral.
UACGUAGGGGGCAAGCGUUGUCCGGAUUUAUUGGGCGUAAAGGGCGUGCAGGCGGUCUAUUAAGUCUGGGGUGAAAGCUCCCGGCUCAACUGGGAGAGGUCCUUGGAUACUGGUGGACUUGAGGGAUGCAGAGGAAAGUGGAAUUCCCGGUGUAGUGGUGAUAUGCGUAGAUAUCGGGAGGAACACCAGUGGCGAAGGCGGCUUUCUGGGCAGUUCCUGACGCUGAGACGCGAAAGCGUGGGGAGCGAACCGG